AACAAGGUCUCCGUUGGUGAACCAGCGGAGGGAUCAUUAUCGAGUUAUUCAACUCCCAAACCCUAUGUGAACUUACCACUUGUUGCUUCGGCGCGCGCUUCGGCGCCGCCGAGGACACUUAAACUCUUUGUUUUUAUAAGCAUUUCUGAGUGGCCGAAAGGCAAAAAUACAAAUGAAUCAAAACUUUCAACAACGGAUCUCUUGGUUCCGGCAUCGAUGAAGAACGCAGCGAAAUGCGAUAAGUAAUGUGAAUUGCAGAAUUCAGUGAAUCAUCGAAUCUUUGAACGCACAUUGCGCCCGCCAGCAUUCUGGCGGGCAUGCCUGUUCGAGCGUCAUUUCAACCCUCGAGCCCGACUCUUUUGAGGACGGCUCGGCGUUGGGGGACGGCAGACUCCCCCCGGCAUCUCGCCGGGGACGCCGCCCCCGAAAUCUAGUGGCGGCCCUCCGAGGCGACCUCUGCGUAGUAACUUGUUCUCGCACCGGAAAGCUCAGAGCGGCCACGCCGUAAAACCCCAACUUUUUUCAGGUUGACCUCGAAUCAGGUAGGACUACCCGCUGAACUUAAGCAUAUCA
This 573-nucleotide ribosomal RNA is filed under the name uncultured eukaryote. RNAcentral describes it as "eukaryotic LSU rRNA". The stretch from base 182 to 335 matches the Rfam family "5.8S ribosomal RNA". The record is from RNAcentral.